This 492-nucleotide ribosomal RNA is filed under the name uncultured bacterium. Its description in RNAcentral is "partial 16S ribosomal RNA". It matches the Rfam family "Bacterial small subunit ribosomal RNA", at positions 29 to 507 of the family's 1533-position model. The record is from RNAcentral.
AGUGAACGCUGGCGGUAGGCCUAACACAUGCAAGUCGAACGGCAGCACAGUAAGAGCUUGCUCUUACGGGUGGCGAGUGGCGGACGGGUGAGGAAUACAUCGGAAUCUACUUUUUCGUGGGGGAUAACGUAGGGAAACUUACGCUAAUACCGCAUACGACCUACGGGUGAAAGCAGGGGAUCUUCGGACCUUGCGCGAUUGAAUGAGCCGAUGUCGGAUUAGCUAGUUGGCGGGGUAAAGGCCCACCAAGGCGACGAUCCGUAGCUGGUCUGAGAGGAUGAUCAGCCACACUGGAACUGAGACACGGUCCAGACUCCGACGGGAGGCAGCAGUGUGGAAUAUUGGACAAUGGGCGCAAGCCUGAUCCAGCCAUACCGCGUGGGUGAAGAAGGCCUUCGGGUUGUAAAGCCCUUUUGUUGGGAAAGAAAAGCAGCAGGUUAAUACCCCGCUGUUCUGACGGUACCCAAAGAAUAAGCACCGGCUAACUUCGUG